Drosophila melanogaster (fruit fly) is the source of this 543-nucleotide non-coding RNA. Lineage: Eukaryota; Metazoa; Arthropoda; Insecta; Diptera; Drosophilidae. The record is from Ensembl.
AGUGCGCAAUCUUCGCUCGGCAGUGCCUCCAACCAACCAGGCGUUCUUGAUAGAUACAUCUAUUGGACAUUUAAAUGCUCCGCAGCUCGACUCCGUUGUCAGCUUCCAUCGGCCUUAUCACAUGCCAAAUACCAAGCGCCAGACUGCAGAAACAGUUGAUGCUCAUCGUGCAAUUUAUUGAGCACAUCAAUCAAUGUGGCAAUUCCAUUUGAGUACUACUCCGCCUGCUGUUGUGAUUCUCCGCAAAUAAUUGCACAUUGCAGAUGCCUGUCAAUGGGUGUGGUCAGGGCCAGAAGAAGACUCGCCGGCAAUCGUCACUCUAAAGAUGGGCGCAACAAAAACAGGUCAAUCAUCGAUCAUGGUCAUCGCCAUCAUCAGCAACGUUGCCGACGAGCCGCAUCCUCGUCGCCUCAUUAUUGAUGAGCCCGGAGCAGAUACAUUGGCCAGUGAUGCCAAAGACAUGCCAUAAAAAUAGUAAAGUCUUCAGAGAUCAAAAACGUUUAUAUUAUCCCCUCCGAAUAAACUUGAAAAAAAGUCCAGCUG